CUCUCUUUGCUUGUCCAAACGCACGCAUGAUUCUUGUGGCAUCUCACCAUUAUGAGAGAACGGGAUAGUCUCUUUUGGGAAGAGUAAAUACAGGAGAGCGAGUGAGAGAGAUAGAGGAGGCAUUUUCACCACUAUAAGUAUCCGAGGAAGCCUAUCCCGCCCACAACACGCAUAGCCGUCUCUUCUUCUCUAUCCCACUCUAUUCUUUCUCAUUCAAGUCUUCCCAUCUCUUACCCUGUCUCAGCCAUCAAAAAGGUGAGCGAUAUGUAAUGAGAACCUCAUACGAUUCUCAUCUUGUCGGCUUCCUUUCUUGGGCAAAGAGGGGCACUUUUCAGUUUUCAAGAAGUGAGGGGCGCUGCGGUUCCUGCUGGCAAGACAUGGAGAGGUUGAAUGCAAAGCUCUGCUUGCAGAACUAUUACAUAAUGAAAGAGAACGAGAGGCUGAGAAGGAAGGCACAGCUUCUCAGCCAGGAGAACCAGGCCCUGUUACAUGAGCUAAGAGAGAAGCUUUCCAACUCCAAUCCCAACUUUACCACCGUCAUCAACAGCGCCCCCACAACCAGCGAGGAAUCUAAUGGGAGCAAGCCUUGAUCUAGCAAAAACAUCUACCGAUAACUCCUGUGCUAGCUCAAUUAUAUAUGGUUCUUAUUUUAAACGAUGCAAUGGAGACAGAUAUCCUUAAGCAUAA
Molecule: long non-coding RNA, 687 nt
Organism: Musa acuminata AAA Group (dessert banana)
Lineage: Eukaryota; Viridiplantae; Streptophyta; Magnoliopsida; Zingiberales; Musaceae
Exons: 2
Source: RefSeq, a predicted model, not a curated record